RNAcentral lists this long non-coding RNA (402 nucleotides) under Fukomys damarensis (Damara mole-rat). RNAcentral describes it as "lncRNA (ENSFDAG00000026738.1)". The record is from RNAcentral. Lineage: Eukaryota; Metazoa; Chordata; Mammalia; Rodentia; Bathyergidae.
GUCUUGGGUUGAGGAAGCAGAUAACAUUGGACUAAAUAGAAUAGAAAUAUGGAGAAAAAUGUAUUGCUUCUGAACCAUCUCUGUGGGGACCUGCAGCGCCUCCUAUCGGUGGAAAAGCUGAACAAGACAAUGAAAAGUAGACUGCAGUUCUGCACCCAGGGCUCAGUAAGCCCUGGACCAAGACAGAAGCUUCCCGGUGUAGUUUCGACACUUGUCAGAUGCAUGAUCACACAGUUGGUGUAGGAGAAAGAUGGCCCAGGCUUCUCCCCGGAGAGGGAGGUAAGACAAUCAUUGCAGUCAUGACGGACUUGCAAGCGUGGAGGUGUUUGCAUCAAGACCAAGCCCUCACCAGGGCCAUCAUCCUACAAAGCAGCCUGGUGACAACUAACCCUCUACUCACCC